CGGGGGACACACACAAUGGAGGAGAUGAACUGAAGAGAUCUUCUUCUCUAAACAAACGAACUCUUCGUCACCCUCAACAACCAGAGCCAGCCCUCCGUAAGUUCACCAGCCGUCGACCAGCAGCGGCCAGCGUCUCCUUCAUGCUGCUGCUGCUGCGUCGUUCGUCUUCUUCUUCCUCGUUCCAGUUGAACGACACCCGCUUCACCAAGCUCCAAACGACCAUCUUUUUCAGUCAUCCGUUCCAGCUCGCUGCUGUCCAAACGACCUCUCCGAUUUUCUGCCUCAUUGACCGUUGGCUCGAAUUUUAUUCGAGGCGUUAUUGACUGUUUGGUUUCAGUGGAGUUUCUCAAAGAAAUAUUCGAGGUCGCCGGAGGUGUCGAGGUUCUGUCCGUUUUCGAGUCCGGCGAGGUCGUCGAGUUGCCAAGGUUAACGCUCGUAACUCCGGUACUGUUACGCACCUUUGGUCAGUUUUUACGUUUGAUCUCAUGUUCAAAAGUACUAGUCCUCAUGUUAAUGAAUCAUUUUGUUAAUUUCUUUUCUUGGAUCAGUUAGUUUAUUCUCUUCAAUUUAAUGAUAAUCUUGGUUUCAUGUUCAUGUUUUGUUGAAUUUGUAACUGUGUACAAAUAGUUGAUUAAAUGGUUCCAUGUUUGGUAUGAAUUUCAUGUUGGGCAGCUUC
RNAcentral lists this long non-coding RNA (676 nucleotides) under Nicotiana benthamiana. RNAcentral describes it as "long non-coding RNA (NBEN_LNC040832)". Lineage: Eukaryota; Viridiplantae; Streptophyta; Magnoliopsida; Solanales; Solanaceae. The record is from RNAcentral.